Molecule: ribosomal RNA, 405 nt
Filed under: uncultured soil bacterium
Lineage: Bacteria
Description: bacterial SSU rRNA
Rfam family: Bacterial small subunit ribosomal RNA
Source: RNAcentral
AGAUUGAACGCUGGCGGCAGGCCUAACACAUGCAAGUCGAGCGGUAGAGAGGUGCUUGCAUCUCUUGAGAGCGGCGGACGGGUGAGUAAUGCCUAGGAAUCUGCCUAGUGGUGGGGGAUAACGUUCGGAAACGGACGCUAAUACCGCAUACGUCCUACGGGAGAAAGUGGGGGACCUUCGGGCCUCGCGCCAUUAGAUGAGCCUAGGUCGGAUUAGCUAGUUGGUGAGGUAAUGGCCCACCGAAGGCGACGAUCCGUAACUGGUCUGAGAGGAUGAUCAGUCACACUGGAACUGAGACACGGUCCAGACCUCCGUACGGGAGCAGCAGGUGGGAAUAGUUGGAACAAGUGGGACGAAAGCCUAGACUCCAGCCAGUGACCGCGUGUGUAGAAGUAAGGUCUUCGG